RNAcentral lists this ribosomal RNA (901 nucleotides) under uncultured bacterium. RNAcentral's name for it is "bacterial SSU rRNA". It matches the Rfam family "Bacterial small subunit ribosomal RNA", at positions 8 to 916 of the family's 1533-position model. The record is from RNAcentral.
AGAGUUUGAUCAUGGCUCAGGACGAACGCUGGCGGCGUGCCUAACACAUGCAAGUCGAACGGGGUUAUCGGGCAGCUUGCUGCCCGAUACACCUAGUGGCGCACGGGUGAGUAACACGUGGGCAACCUACCCAGAAGACCGGGACAACACUUCGAAAGGGGUGCUAAUACCGGAUACACCCGCGGAGUCGCAUGAUUUAGCGGGGAAAGAAUUUUCGCUUUUGGAUGGGCCCGCGUCCCAUUAGCUAGUUGGUGAGGUAAUAGCUCACCAAGGCAACGAUGGGUAGCUGGUCUGAGAGGACGAUCAGCCACACUGGAACUGAGACACGGUCCAGACUCCUACGGGAGGCAGCAGUGGGGAAUCUUGCGCAAUGGGCGGAAGCCUGACGCAGCAACGCCGCGUGAACGAAGAAGGCCUUCGGGUUGUAAAGUUCUGUCAGGGGGGACGAAGAGGUGACGGUACCCCCAGAGGAAGCCCCGGCUAACUACGUGCCAGCAGCCGCGGUAACACGUAGGGGGCGAGCGUUGUCCGGAAUUACUGGGCGUAAAGGGCGUGUAGGCGGCCGAUCAAGUCAGGUGUGAAAAAUCAGGGCUUAACCCUGAUCGUGCACUUGAAACUGGUUGGCUUGAGUGCAGGAGAGGAGAGUGGAAUUCCCAGUGUAGCGGUGAAAUGCGUAGAUAUUGGGAGGAACACCAGUGGCGAAGGCGACUUUCUGGACUGCAACUGACGCUGAGGCGCGAAAGCUAGGGGAGCAAACAGGAUUAGAUACCCUGGUAGUCCUAGCCGUAAACGAUGGGUACUAGGUGUAGGGGGUUUAGACGCCCUCUGUGCCGCAGUUAACACAUUAAGUACCCCGCCUGGGGAGUACGGCCGCAAGGCUGAAACUUAAAUGAAUUGACGG